Molecule: ribosomal RNA, 743 nt
Filed under: uncultured bacterium
Lineage: Bacteria
Description: bacterial SSU rRNA
Rfam family: Bacterial small subunit ribosomal RNA
Source: RNAcentral
AGCGGCGGAUGGGUGAGUAACACGUGGGGAACCUGCCCCUAAGUCUGGGAUACCAUUUGGAAACAGGUGCUAAUACCGGAUAAUAAAGCAGAUCGCAUGAUCAGCUUUUGAAAGGCGGCGUAAGCUGUCGCUAAGGGAUGGCCCCGCGGUGCAUUAGCUAGUUGGUAAGGUAACGGCUUACCAAGGCGACGAUGCAUAGCCGAGUUGAGAGACUGAUCGGCCACAUUGGGACUGAGACACGGCCCAAACUCCUACGGGAGGCAGCAGUAGGGAAUCUUCCACAAUGGACGCAAGUCUGAUGGAGCAACGCCGCGUGAGUGAAGAAGGUUUUCGGAUCGUAAAGCUCUGUUGUUGGUGAAGAAGGAUAGAGGUAGUAACUGGCCUUUAUUUGACGGUAAUCAACCAGAAAGUCACGGCUAACUACGUGCCAGCAGCCGCGGUAAUACGUAGGUGGCAAGCGUUGUCCGGAUUUAUUGGGCGUAAAGCGAGCGCAGGCGGAAAAAUAAGUCUAAUGUGAAAGCCCUCGGCUUAACCGAGGAACUGCAUCGGAAACUGUUUUUCUUGAGUGCAGAAGAGGAGAGUGGAACUCCAUGUGUAGCGGUGGAAUGCGUAGAUAUAUGGAAGAACACCAGUGGCGAAGGCGGCUCUCUGGUCUGCAACUGACGCUGAGGCUCGAAAGCAUGGGUAGCGAACAGGAUUAGAUACCCGGGUAGUCCAUACCGUAAACGAUGAGUGCUAAGUGU